GCGAGAGUGGCGGAAUUGGCAGACGCGCCAGAUUUAGGUUCUGGUAUCUUAGGAUGUGGGAGUUCAACUCUCCCCUCUCGUACCA
Molecule: transfer RNA, 85 nt
Filed under: SAR324 cluster bacterium
Lineage: Bacteria; Deltaproteobacteria
Description: tRNA-Leu
Rfam family: tRNA
About the family: Transfer RNA (tRNA) molecules are approximately 80 nucleotides in length. Their secondary structure includes four short double-helical elements and three loops (D, anti-codon, and T loops). Further hydrogen bonds mediate the characteristic L-shaped molecular structure. tRNAs have two regions of fundamental functional importance: the anti-codon, which is responsible for specific mRNA codon recognition, and the 3' end, to which the tRNAs corresponding amino acid is attached (by aminoacyl-tRNA synthetases). tRNAs cope with the degeneracy of the genetic code in two manners: having more than one tRNA (with a specific anti-codon) for a particular amino acid; and 'wobble' base-pairing, i.e. permitting non-standard base-pairing at the 3rd anti-codon position.
Source: RNAcentral